ACAACCUUAAUCCUGAUGAGUCUGUGUGUUGAUAUGAACAUGUGAGAGCAGCACAGCAGCCCUGAGUUCACUUUGUUUCUCGACCUCUAGCUGUGAGAAUGUGCAAACAGACAAAGCAGACCCUUCGAUCGACUGCCCUAAGGCAAAGGAAAGAUGUGGUGUCCUGAGAAAAGACCCUUUCACCAGCUGCCACGCGAUCAUAGCGCCAGACAGUUACAUAAAAGUCUGUGAAGAAACUUUGUGUUCAUAUCCUUCGGUUGACAAUCUGCCCUGUCAUUACCUAGAGGCCUAUGCCAGAGCUUGCAGCCUGAGGGGCGGCCCUGAACUGAGUGGCUGGAGGCAAAAGUCCAACUGCCCCACCACCCAUGAGGCCUUCUGUCAGGACAAGUUCUGUGCUUCUCAUGAGUUCUGUGGUGAGACGGUGGCUAGUGAUGGCUUGGGUUGCUUAUGUCAGCCUGGUUUCGCAGCCUUGUUUAGACAAAGAAAAUCUUUAGGUAAGACAGCAGUGAAGGU
Labrus mixtus (cuckoo wrasse) is the source of this 513-nucleotide long non-coding RNA. RefSeq lists it as uncharacterized. The record is from RefSeq and is a predicted model, not a curated record. NCBI's taxonomy places the organism in Eukaryota, Metazoa, Chordata, Actinopteri, Labriformes, Labridae. The transcript has 3 exons.